GCCGGGAUGGUGGAAUUGGUAGACACCCGAGACUUAAAAUCUCGUAAUCCUUGCGAUUGUGCGGGUUCAAGUCCCGCUCCCGGUACCA
RNAcentral lists this transfer RNA (88 nucleotides) under Maridesulfovibrio salexigens DSM 2638. RNAcentral's name for it is "tRNA-Leu (TAA) (tRNA-Leu-TAA-1-1)". It matches the Rfam family "tRNA". From Rfam's summary of the family: Transfer RNA (tRNA) molecules are approximately 80 nucleotides in length. Their secondary structure includes four short double-helical elements and three loops (D, anti-codon, and T loops). Further hydrogen bonds mediate the characteristic L-shaped molecular structure. tRNAs have two regions of fundamental functional importance: the anti-codon, which is responsible for specific mRNA codon recognition, and the 3' end, to which the tRNAs corresponding amino acid is attached (by aminoacyl-tRNA synthetases). tRNAs cope with the degeneracy of the genetic code in two manners: having more than one tRNA (with a specific anti-codon) for a particular amino acid; and 'wobble' base-pairing, i.e. permitting non-standard base-pairing at the 3rd anti-codon position. RNAcentral also lists the same sequence under 1 other name. Lineage: Bacteria; Pseudomonadati; Thermodesulfobacteriota; Desulfovibrionia; Desulfovibrionales; Desulfovibrionaceae. The record is from RNAcentral.